UACAGAGGUCCCAAGCGUUGUUCGGAUUCACUGGGCGUAAAGGGUGCGUAGGCGGUCGCAUAAGUCUGAUGUGAAAUCUCGGAGCUCAACUCCGAAACUGCAUUGGAAACUAUGUGGCUAGAGGUUGGGAGGGGGGACUGGAAUUCUCGGUGUAGCAGUGAAAUGCGUAGAUAUCGAGAGGAACACCAGUGGCGAAGGCGAGUCCCUGGACCAAUCCUGACGCUGAGGCACGAAAGCCAGGGGAGCAAACGGG
This 253-nucleotide ribosomal RNA is filed under the name uncultured bacterium. RNAcentral's name for it is "partial 16S ribosomal RNA". It matches the Rfam family "Bacterial small subunit ribosomal RNA", at positions 524 to 776 of the family's 1533-position model. The record is from RNAcentral.